GGGAGGAUGGGGGUCUCUUCUCCGAGAAGCCGGGAGCCUGUUGGGCAGCCGGCGCCCGGUCUCCCCUUCUGCUGCGGAGGAUCCCUGCUGGCGGUCGUGGUGCUGCUCGCGCUGCCGGUGGCCUGGGAUCAAUGCAAUGUCCCGGAAUGGCUUCCAUUUGCCAGGCCUACCAACCUAACUGAUGAGUUUGAGUUUCCCAUUGGGACAUAUCUGAACUAUGAAUGCCGCCCUGGUUAUUAUGGAAGACCAUUUUCUAUCAUCUGCCUAAAAAACUCAGUCUGGACAAGUGCUGAGGACAAGUGCAAACGUAAAUCAUGUCGUAAUCCUCCAGAUCCUGUGAAUGGCAUGGUGCAUGUGAUCAAAGACAUCCAGUUCGGAUCCCAAAUUAAAUAUUCUUGUACUAAAGGAUACCGACUCAUUGGUUCCUCGUCUGCCACAUGCAUCAUCUCAGGCAACACUGUCAUUUGGGAUAAUAAAACACCUGUUUGUGACAGAAUUCCUUGUGGGCUACCCCCCAACAUCACCAAUGGAUAUUUCAUUAGCACCGACAGAGAGUAUUUUCACUAUGGAUCAGUGGUGACCUACCGCUGCAAUCUUGGAAGCAGAGGGAGAAAGGUGUUUGAGCUCGUGGGUGAGCCCUCCAUAUACUGCACCAGCAAAGGUGAUCAAGUGGGCGUCUGGGCGUCAGUGCAUUAUACCUAACAAAUGCACGCCUCCAAAUGUGGAAAAUGGAAUAUUGGUAUCUGACAACAGAAGCUUAUUUUCCUUAAAUGAAGUUGUGGAGUUUAGGUGUCUGCCUGGCUUUGUCAUGAAAAGACCCCCUCCCCGUGUGCAAUGCCAGGCCCUGAACAAAUGGGAGCCGGAGCUACCAAGCUGCUCCAGGGGUGAGUCUGACUGAGGCCUAGAAGGGCCCUGCCA
This 918-nucleotide small RNA is filed under the name Pan troglodytes (chimpanzee). RNAcentral's name for it is "processed transcript". Lineage: Eukaryota; Metazoa; Chordata; Mammalia; Primates; Hominidae. The record is from RNAcentral.